AUUGAACGCUGGCGGCAGGCCUAACACAUGCAAGUCGAACGGUAGCACAGAGAGCUUGCUCUCGGGUGACGAGUGGCGGACGGGUGAGUAAUGUCUGGGAAACUGCCCGAUGGAGGGGGAUAACUACUGGAAACGGUAGCUAAUACCGCAUAACGUCGCAAGACCAAAGUGGGGGACCUUCGGGCCUCACACCAUCGGAUGUGCCCAGAUGGGAUUAGCUAGUAGGUGGGGUAAUGGCUCACCUAGGCGACGAUCCCUAGCUGGUCUGAGAGGAUGACCAGCCACACUGGAACUGAGGCACGGUCCAGACUCCUACGGGAGGCGGCAGUGGGGAAUAUUGCACAAUGGGCGCAAGCCUGAUGCAGCCAUGCCGCGUGCAUGAAGAAGGCCUUCGGGUUGUAAAGUACUUUCAGCGGGGAGGAAGGCGGUGAAGUUAAUAGCUUCACCGAUUGACGUUACCCGCAGAAGAAGCACCGGCUAACUCCGUGCCAGCCGCCGCAGUAA
This 504-nucleotide ribosomal RNA is filed under the name uncultured bacterium. RNAcentral describes it as "partial 16S ribosomal RNA". It matches the Rfam family "Bacterial small subunit ribosomal RNA", at positions 29 to 523 of the family's 1533-position model. The record is from RNAcentral.